This 751-nucleotide long non-coding RNA is filed under the name Triticum aestivum (bread wheat). RNAcentral's name for it is "long non-coding RNA (TAES_LNC012108)". The record is from RNAcentral. Lineage: Eukaryota; Viridiplantae; Streptophyta; Magnoliopsida; Poales; Poaceae.
AAAGAAAGGAAGCAAACCUCAAGCAGCAAAACAGAGUUACAACAAAACAGAAGAUCAACAUGCAGCAACACAGGAGAUCGCAUAACCUGAUAAAUAAACAUAAAUGAAGUAGUCAGAGCAGGCAACGAAAACUUCAUGCGCCAGGGCAUUAAAACAUUUUACAGUUCAGUUUGCAAUUUCAAAAUUGACACCAUGGCGGCGCACAACUAUAGAGUAAAAGACCAGCAUGCUAUGCAUGUAUACCAUGUUUCACUUUGAAAAUAAAGCUGGAUUGCAUUUGAAAUAUCUUUCCUUGUAUUUCCUAUAUUACACACACCUAAAUUAAACCAGCAAGUUAGCAUGUCAUUAUUUACAAAGAAACACCACAACAACCUAAUCAACCAUAUCCCUUCUUUAAUAUUUCCUUUCUUUUUUGUAAUUCUAAUUUUUCAACAUAGCACAAGGAUUUAUCCCUAUUUAAUCUCACAAUAAGAUCUAAAGUUAGUGUGUGGCAUAUAUGUUAAUACCCCAACCCAAAAUCUGAGAAGAGCAAGAACAACAAAAACUGAGAAAGUUCCCUUUGUUAUUUCAAGUUUUUGUCGAACUGGCAAAAUCAUUUGUAGGCAACUCAAGUUAUACGCCGCGUGCAAGGAGUGAACUUCCUCAGAAACCUCACAAAUGUACGACAAGUUAGGUAAGUAACAAUAUAUUGAGGAUGAAAAAAAUGCUUAUCGAUGCAUGAGUUGAGAAACCAAUCAAAUACCUUCAGAUU